AUUGAACGCUGGCGGCAGGCCUAACACAUGCAAGUCGAGCGGAUGAAGGGAGCUUGCUCCUGGAUUCAGCGGCGGACGGGUGAGUAAUGCCUAGGAAUCUGCCUGGUAGUGGGGGAUAACGUCCGGAAACGGGCGCUAAUACCGAAUACGUACUGAGGGAGAAAGUGGGGGAUCUUCGGACCUCAGGCUAUCAGAUGAGCCUAGGUCGGAUUAGCUAGUUGGUGGGGUAAAGGCCUACCAAGGCGACGAUCCGUAACUGGUCUGAGAGGAUGAUCAGUCACACUGGAACUGAGACACGGUCCAGACUCCUACGGGAGGCAGCAGUGGGGAAUAUUGGACAAUGGGCGAAAGCCUGAUCCAGCCAUGCCGCGUGUGUGAAGAAGGUCUUCGGAUUGUAAAGCACUUUAAGUUGGGAGGAAGGGCAGUAAGUUAAUACCUUGCUGUUUUGACGUUACCAACAGAAUAAGCACCGGCUAACUUCGUG
This 484-nucleotide ribosomal RNA is filed under the name uncultured bacterium. RNAcentral's name for it is "partial 16S ribosomal RNA". It matches the Rfam family "Bacterial small subunit ribosomal RNA", at positions 30 to 507 of the family's 1533-position model. The record is from RNAcentral.